This 376-nucleotide unclassified non-coding RNA is filed under the name soil metagenome. Its description in RNAcentral is "partial contains 5.8S ribosomal RNA, internal transcribed spacer 2, and large subunit ribosomal RNA". The stretch from base 1 to 120 matches the Rfam family "5.8S ribosomal RNA", at positions 35 to 154 of the family's 154-position model. The record is from RNAcentral.
GAUAAAGAACGCAGCGAAAUGCGAUAAGUAAUGUGAAUUGCAGAAUUCAGUGAAUCAUCGAAUCUUUGAACGCAUCUUGCGCUCCUUGGUAUUCUGAGGAGCAUGCCUGUUUGAGUGUCAUUAAAUUCUCAACUACACUGACUUUGAAUUGGUGUGGCUUGGAUUUGGGGGGAAAAUUGUUGUGGGCUUUUUGUAUAGUCUGCUCCCCUGAAAUUGAUUAGCGGUACCUUUGUGGAACUGUCUACAGGUGUGAUAAUUAUCUACAUCUUAGACAUCUGCUGGAAUGCUGCUCUCUAAACCUUACUUGUAUUGACAAUCUUGACCUCAAAUCAGGUAGGACUACCCGCUGAACUUAAGCAUAUCAAUAAGCGGAGGA